CCAAGUAGUUCAGCUGGUUAGAACGCUAGCCUGUCACGCUAGAGGUCGUGGGUUCGAGCCCCAUCUUG
This 68-nucleotide transfer RNA is filed under the name human gut metagenome. It matches the Rfam family "tRNA". From Rfam's summary of the family: Transfer RNA (tRNA) molecules are approximately 80 nucleotides in length. Their secondary structure includes four short double-helical elements and three loops (D, anti-codon, and T loops). The record is from RNAcentral.